GAUGUUAAUUUUAGGUCUGGCCUGCCCACUGAAAUAUUUAAAUGGCCGUGGUAUUUUGACCGUGCUAAGGUAGCAUAAUCAUUAGUUUUUUAAUUGAAAGCUGGAAUGAAGGGUUAGAUAAAAAAAUAACUGUCUCUAUUUAAUUUUAUUAGAAUUUUAUUUUUAAGUUAAAAAGCUUAAGUUAAAUUAAAAGACGAGAAGACCCUAUAGAGUUUUAUUAUAAUUUAUAUUUUUUAUUUUAGAAUUUAUUUAUUAAAUUUGAUUUAUAAUUUGAUUGGGGCGAUUAAAAAAUUUAUUUAACUUUUUUUGUAAUAUAACAUUGAUUUAUGAAUUAUUGAUCCAAUUUUUUUGAUUAUAAGAUAAAAUUACCUUAGGGAUAACAGCGUAAUUUUUUUAGAAAGUUCAUAUUGAAAAAAAAGAUUGCGACCUCGAUGUUGGAUUAAAAUUAAUUUUUGGUGUAGAAGCUAAAAUAUUAGGUCU
RNAcentral lists this ribosomal RNA (480 nucleotides) under Gonioctena viminalis. RNAcentral's name for it is "partial 16S ribosomal RNA". The record is from RNAcentral. Lineage: Eukaryota; Metazoa; Arthropoda; Insecta; Coleoptera; Chrysomelidae.